AUUAUAUGGGCGUAAAGCGCGCGCAGGUGGUUUCUUAAGUCUGAUGUGAAAGCCCACUGCUCAACCGUGGAGGGUCAUUGCAAACUGGGAGACUUGAAUGCAGAAGAAGAAAGUGGAAUUCCAUGUGUAGCAGUGAGAAAUGCGUAGAGAUAUGGAGGAACACCAGUGGCGAAGGCGACUUUCUGGUCUGUAACUGACACUGAGGCGCGAAAGCGUGCGGGAGCAAACAGGAUUAGAUACCCUGGUAGUCCACGCCGUAAACUAUGAGUUGUAAGUGUUAGAGGGUUUCCGCCCUUUAGUGCUGAAGUUAACUCAUUACGCACUCCGCCUGGGGAGUACGGCCGCAAGGCUGAGACUCAAAGGAGUUGACGGGGGCCCGCACAAGCUGUGGAUCAUGUCGUUGAAUCUGAAACAACGCUUAGAACCUUACAAGGUCUUGACAUCUUCUGACAACCCUAUAGAUACGGCUCGUCCUCGAGGAGCAGAGCGACAGGUGGUGCAUGAUUGUCGUCACGUCGUGUCGUGGGAUAUUGGGUCAAGUCCCGCACC
RNAcentral lists this ribosomal RNA (549 nucleotides) under Bacillus sp. CIK517. RNAcentral describes it as "bacterial SSU rRNA". It matches the Rfam family "Bacterial small subunit ribosomal RNA", at positions 549 to 1093 of the family's 1533-position model. Lineage: Bacteria; Bacillati; Bacillota; Bacilli; Caryophanales; Bacillaceae. The record is from RNAcentral.